CGGGACGGGUGAGUAAUGUCUGGGAAACUGCCCGAUGGAGGGGGAUAGCUACUGGAAACGGUAGCUAAUACCGCAUAACGUCGCAAGACCAAAGAGGGGGACCUUCGGGCCUCUUGCCAUCGGAUGUGCCCAGAUGGGAUUAGCUAGUAGGUGGGGUAACGGCUCACCUAGGCGACGAUCCCUAGCUGGUCUGAGAGGAUGACCAGCCACACUGGAACUGAGACACGGUCCAG
Molecule: ribosomal RNA, 233 nt
Filed under: uncultured bacterium
Lineage: Bacteria
Description: partial 16S ribosomal RNA
Rfam family: Bacterial small subunit ribosomal RNA
Source: RNAcentral